UGGAGUUCGACUCCACCUCCUCUGAGACCUCAUUUAAGGGCUGACCCUCACUGAGGCAGCAUCUCUUGGAGAUUGCUUGCUAGUGAAGAUCGCCUCAGCUCCUAGCAUCAUCACUGAUGUCAGCAUCUGAAAAUAUGGGUGCAAGCUUGCAAUCCUGGAUGCAGUAAGAUCUGCAGUGUUCUGCACAAAGGAGAAAAGAACCUGACAUUCUACUUGGCAGCUAUAGGUAAAUCAUCACUUUUGUAAAUGGGGUUACCUUCCUUACAGUCUUCUCUGUACUCCCUUUCCUGGGACAACCAAGUAGCAGUGGUUGAUGGAGCUUAUCUUCCGUGAAGGAGUACAGCACUCCAGACUUCAGAAUAUUUCAAAGGAACUCGAUGGAAUCUUCUCCUUUAUCAAAGAGCUUGAAGGAAUUAUCUCCCCUGCCUCCUAAAACUGCAGGAUCCAACUGACUAACCUGACACUGUGGAGCAGCCUCCUUCAGCAAGAUUUUAUACCCCAAAUGUGGCAGAGAAAAUUACUGAAAAGGACUAAGACUAGGACUAGGACUCCUCAGUCUACAGAAGAGACAAUGGUGAAGAGGUAUAAUGCUCAUUGCCUCAUGAGAGCAGGAAAAACAGAGAAGGGGUAGAAAAUUCCUCUCUAGCAUAAUUUACAAGUCAUGAGUUGUGUUUGUAUGAAUGGUUCAGUAGGGCACAUGAACCCAACUUAGUGCCAGGGCCCCAUCUUAAAUUUGAUUGAUUGGAUUGGUGGUAGGUCUAUUUAGAUUUAAAUUAUUAUAAAGACAUAAAGGACGUUGAAAGCUUGUUAGAAAGAGAAGCAGAUGGACAAUGCAAUAGCACAUUGCAAAAUGAUACUGGAAAGGCAAAAUAAACGGAGGGAUGGAUUCUAUAGCCUACAGGAAGUUUUGAGUCAAAUCAGAUUAACAAUCAAGCAAAUUCUGUCAACAAGUAACAGGAACCUUAUGAAUCGAAUUCCAUUUCCAUGUAGCAAAAAUACAACAUUAGGAUUUAAUUACUGAUUGCCUGAUGAGGACUGUGAUAGAGACUGACACACUGAGGAACGUCAAGGAGGUCAAUAAUUUGGUCCUGGGCAUUUACUGUUUAUGUGGUUAUGUGGCAAAUUAGACUACCUACCAAAAAAUUAGCUGGUGAGGAAUUAUGUGGUAUAAUAACAUUCAAAUAAUAUUGCAGGAGGAGCACUGAAGGCUGAAUCCCUGUUAGACCAACCAGUCUGAGCUGAAAGCAUCCCAGGUGGACAGUUAAAUGUUAAGGACCACACUGUACCAGGGAGUUCGGAAUUACUGUGCAUCACAAAGUUGCCCCUUGCAUGAUAAAUUGCUGCAAGAUAGUAGAUGUUUGCUCAGUUCAUUGCAUGGUUUUGCAAAUGCACAAUUUGAAAUGGGUUCUUGUUAAGUACUAAAAAUUCCAGUGGAUG
Molecule: non-coding RNA, 1437 nt
Organism: Coturnix japonica (Japanese quail)
Lineage: Eukaryota; Metazoa; Chordata; Aves; Galliformes; Phasianidae
Source: RefSeq, a predicted model, not a curated record